RNAcentral lists this long non-coding RNA (1341 nucleotides) under Heterocephalus glaber (naked mole-rat). RNAcentral's name for it is "lncRNA (ENSHGLG00000045181.1)". The record is from RNAcentral. Lineage: Eukaryota; Metazoa; Chordata; Mammalia; Rodentia; Bathyergidae.
CUGGAUGGGUGGUACUGGUUGGCCUCAUGGUGGAAGCAGAAGUGACCGUGUGUGGGCUGGCUGGCGUGCUGGGAGAGGUGGGUGCUACUGAGGUCGUCGUGAGGGUUGGAGAGACACUGGGAGGUAGGGUCUGGGGUUCAGAUGUGGUUGGAAAGGUGCUGGUGGUCGUGAGCGACGUUCCCGAGGUGGGUUCCGUUGUUUGUGGAGGGUGGGACACGGGCAGCGUGCGUGCGCUAUGGCUGGGUGAAUGGGUCUGCAGCGUGCUUGACGUGAUUUCCGUGUGUUGCAUUGUUGAUGCUGUCGCGGUGCCCCUGCUCUCCCUGGUAUGCUGUGUGGCCAGGGCGGUCUCUCCCAAAGUGUAUUGUUCUGUUGUCUGUGUGAGUGUGACCGGCCCUGUUCCUGGCAUUUUCUCUUGGGUGCUUGUCCCUGUGGGUGUAAAGGAGUGUCAUCAUGCAGUCUGUCUCUCCCUUUAGACCUCUGGUUUUUGCUCCCGUCUUGUUCCCUGUACCCCUUUCAGGCCAUCUGGGUUCCUUGAGCCAUUCAUAGGCGCUGUUACUCUGAACUUGAGGUUCCUCUUCCUCCCCACUUGUGCAGUCCCGGAUGUGCCGUUUGUGGUACUGGUUUUCGGCAUGGGGCCCCAGGGUUUGGUGUGUGCGUGGUUCCAGGCUGCCCCCCGUGUCCCCAUAUGCUGGUGGGCCCAUCCUUCCCCUUUAUCCUAUGGGAAGUCCUGGACUUCCUCCAUGGCUGACCUGCCGUGCUCAGCUGUGCUGGGACUCGUGGCCUGGGACUCCAGGUGUCCCAUGGGCCCUUGCUCACCUUGUCCAGGAUUCCUUGUCCACGUGCUCACGGUCAGUGGUACCACUGUGGUCCGUGCUGUGGACUGAGCUGUGGAUGUAGUGGCUGGGCUGGGGGAUGAUGCUGUGGGCUCUGUCGUUGCUGUAGUGACUGUAUAUCCUGUGGCUGUUGACAUCACCGUGACUGUAGGCACCCGAGGAGAGGUGGCAGGUGUGGUGACUGCCGUGGUGGUCGGAGGGGAUUCUGCAGGGAACAGGCCCUCUUUGUGUUCCCCAGCCCGUGUCUGAGGUCCCUCCCUUUCCUGAGACCCAGGCCCUUUCCUGCCUCAGCCUCCUGGAGGAGUACUGGCCUCUUGGCUUCCCUGCUCUGACCCUGCACCUUCCAUUGUCUGUGUGGCAGUGGUGUCCUGGUGCCAGGAGCAGUGAACACAGGGUCCUCUGGGCCCGCUGGGUGGACAGAUGUCCGGUCCCCUCAGUGCCUGGGCAGCAGGACAUGUCCUCCUGCCCUGUGGUCUCACUGCACUGUGGACCUGAGGGGCUGGUGCGG